RNAcentral lists this ribosomal RNA (253 nucleotides) under uncultured bacterium. RNAcentral's name for it is "partial 16S ribosomal RNA". It matches the Rfam family "Bacterial small subunit ribosomal RNA", at positions 524 to 776 of the family's 1533-position model. The record is from RNAcentral.
UACGUAGGGUGCAAGCGUUAAUCGGAAUUACUGGGCGUAAAGCGUGCGCAGGCGGUUCUCCAAGUCCGUUGUGAAAGCCCCGGGCUCAACCUGGGAAUGGCAGUGGAAACUAGGGGACUGGAAUCUGGCAGAGGGGGGUGGAAUGCCGCGUGUAGCAGUGAAAUGCGUAGAGAUGCGGCGGAACACCGAUGGCGAAGGCAGCCCCCUGGGCUGAGAUUGACGCUCAGGCACGAAAGCGUGGGGGGCAAACAGG